AUGGGCAGGGGGCGUGGCUGUGGGAACUGCAGUACCAGACCCGCUGCCGUGUCCUUUUUCCGUUCCAGAGGUUUGCAGCUGCCACCUGACAUAAACUUGCUGGAGCAGGCAGAAGAGCUCAAGGGUUUUGAGAGGAGGAUUACUGAAUAUAUUCAUUUUUUUGCAACCCACAACUGGACAUUGGAGAAUGCUCCUUAUAGUGGUAUCUGUCUGUACAGCUACUGGUACCUGGAACUGGUUGAUAGAUCCUGAUACACAAAAGGUGUCCUUCUUCACAUCCUUAUGGAAUCACACAUUUUUCACCAUUUGCUGUAUCACUCUAAUAGGCUUGUUCUUUGCUGGAAUACACAAGACAGUAGUUGCAUCAUCAAUUAUAGCUGCUCAAUGUCAAACAGUAUUAGCAGAAUACAAUACUUCUUGUAAUGAUACAGGAAAACUAAUUUUGAAAUGUAGGCCUCAUGUUCAAUGACAAUCUUCACUCAUUGUUGAGACUUAAAACAGCCUUUCUUCAAAUAAGUGAUACAGCAAAAAGCCAUAAAGGAUUCCUUUUGCAGUUGGAUAUGUAAAGGUCAUAGCAACAACUGACAAGAAGUGUGCAAUACUUACCCAGAUUAUGUUGAUGAUGAUGACUCACAUUAUCAGUGCUUUGGUACCUUUUAUUACCUGUGUUUCAGUAUUAGUGUCACUUUAGUUCUUCAGAUCCUGCAAAAAUUUUUGUAGAUGAAGUAUGUAUGUACGUUACGAAG
RNA transcript from Cebus imitator (Panamanian white-faced capuchin), 746 nucleotides. It is a transcript of the gene named nuclear envelope phosphatase-regulatory subunit 1-like, with no coding region annotated. Lineage: Eukaryota; Metazoa; Chordata; Mammalia; Primates; Cebidae. The transcript is spliced from 2 exons. The record is from RefSeq and is a predicted model, not a curated record.